RNAcentral lists this ribosomal RNA (253 nucleotides) under uncultured bacterium. RNAcentral's name for it is "partial 16S ribosomal RNA". It matches the Rfam family "Bacterial small subunit ribosomal RNA", at positions 524 to 776 of the family's 1533-position model. The record is from RNAcentral.
UACGGGGGGGGCAAGCGUUGUUCGGAAUUACUGGGCGUAAAGGGCUCGUAGGUGGCCAACUAAGUCAGACGUGAAAUCCCUCGGCUUAACCGGGGGACUGCGUCUGAUACUGGAUGGCUUGAGUUCGGGAGAGGGAUGCGGAAUUCCAGGUGUAGCGGUGAAAUGCGUAGAUAUCUGGAGGAACACCGGUGGCGAAGGCGGGUCUCUGGGCCGAUACUGACGCUGAGGAGCGAAAGCGUGGGGAGCGAACAGG